Molecule: unclassified non-coding RNA, 400 nt
Filed under: soil metagenome
Description: partial contains 5.8S ribosomal RNA, internal transcribed spacer 2, and large subunit ribosomal RNA
Rfam family: 5.8S ribosomal RNA (bases 1-122)
Source: RNAcentral
GAUGAAGAACGCAGCGAAAUGCGAUACUUGGUGUGAAUUGCAGAAUCCCGUGAACCAUCGAGUCUUUGAACGCAAGUUGCGCCUCAAGCCAUUAGGUUGAGGGCACGUCUGCCUGGGCGUCACAUAUCGUUGCCUGAUGCCAGUUUCCUCGUGAUGGGUGACUGUGCAGGGCGAAUGAUGGCUUCCCGUGAGCAUUGUUGCCUCAUGGUUGGUUGAAAAUUGAGUCCUUGGUAGGGAGCGCCGUGAUAGAUGGUGGUUGAGUGACGAACGAGACCCAAUCAUGUGAGACCCCUACCGAAUUUGGCCUUCAUGACCCACAUGCGUCUUUGGAACGCUCAUAACGAGACCUCAGGUCAGGCGGGGCUACCCGCUGAGUUUAAGCAUAUCAAUAAGCGGAGGA